AUUGAACGCUGGCGGCAGGCCUAACACAUGCAAGUCGAACGGUAACAGGGAUCAGCUUGCUGAUUCGCUGACGAGUGGCGGACGGGUGAGUAAUGUCUGGGAAACUGCCUGAUGGAGGGGGAUAACUACUGGAAACGGUAGCUAAUACCGCAUAACGUCGCAAGACCAAAGAGGGGGACCUUCGGGCCUCUUGCCAUCGGAUGUGCCCAGAUGGGAUUAGCUAGUAGGUGGGGUAACGGCUCACCUAGGCGACGAGCCCUAGCUGGUCUGAGAGGAUGACCAGCCACACUGGAACUGAGACACGGUCCAGACUCCUACGGGAGGCAGCAGUGGGGAAUAUUGCACAAUGGGCGCAAGCCUGAUGCAGCCAUGCCGCGUGUAUGAAGAAGGCCUUCGGGUUGUAAAGUACUUUCAGCGGGGAGGAAGGGAGUAAAGUUAAUACCUUUGCUCAUUGACGUUACCCGCAGAAGAAGCACCGGCUAACUCCGUG
RNAcentral lists this ribosomal RNA (490 nucleotides) under uncultured bacterium. RNAcentral describes it as "partial 16S ribosomal RNA". It matches the Rfam family "Bacterial small subunit ribosomal RNA", at positions 30 to 507 of the family's 1533-position model. The record is from RNAcentral.